GUGCCAGCCGCCGCGGUAAUACGUAGGCAGCAAGCGUUGUUCGGAGUUACUGGGCGUAAAGGGUGCGUAGGCGGUUCCCUAAGUUUGGUGUGAAAUCUCCCGGCUCAACUGGGAGGGUGCGCCGAAAACUGGGGAGCUAGAGUGUGGGAGAGGUGAGUGGAAUUCCUGGUGUAGCGGUGAAAUGCGUAGAUAUCAGGAGGAACACCGGUGGUGUAGACGGCUCACUGGACCAUUACUGACGCUGAGGCACGAAAGCGUGGGUAGCAAACAGGAUUAGAUACCCGAGUAGUCC
RNAcentral lists this ribosomal RNA (292 nucleotides) under uncultured bacterium. Its description in RNAcentral is "partial 16S ribosomal RNA". It matches the Rfam family "Bacterial small subunit ribosomal RNA", at positions 505 to 796 of the family's 1533-position model. The record is from RNAcentral.